RNAcentral lists this long non-coding RNA (217 nucleotides) under Cicer arietinum (chickpea). RNAcentral describes it as "long non-coding RNA (CARI_LNC000186)". The record is from RNAcentral. Lineage: Eukaryota; Viridiplantae; Streptophyta; Magnoliopsida; Fabales; Fabaceae.
AAAGAACCAGUCACCAAAACAAAGAAGGCGUAUAUUGCUUGGAACGAUAAUGAUGAAUCCUCUGCCUCUUCGGAUGAAGAAGAAGCCAAUAUGUGUCUCAUGGCAAAUUCAGAUUCAGAAUCAGAAAAUGAGGUUAGUUCACAAUCUAAUCCAACCUAUGAUGAACUUCAAGAAGCUUUCAAUGAAUUGCAUGAUGAUUAUGUGAACUCCAUAAAAC